Molecule: long non-coding RNA, 1465 nt
Organism: Cucumis melo (muskmelon)
Lineage: Eukaryota; Viridiplantae; Streptophyta; Magnoliopsida; Cucurbitales; Cucurbitaceae
Exons: 3
Source: RefSeq, a predicted model, not a curated record
ACAAAGGGGGAAAAAUUCCCGCCCAAGAAAAAAAGAAAAAGAGGGAAAAAAAGGGGCAAUAUGUGCGCGUUUCCUCUUUUUCAUUUUCCGCAAUGCUCUAGUCCGUCUGAAGGGGUAUGAAGAACGAAAGGGGCCGAUCUGAAAGAACGAAAAACCCUCGUCCUUGGAUCUCACGAUUUUUGUUCGUCUCUCUACUGCCGACGGGCGUUCUUGACGACGGUCGUUCUACCAACGACGACCGUUCAACCGAAAAACAGAGUAAAAAAUUCCUCCCUCUCUCGAUGGCUGUUCAACCGUCCGUCGAACAUUGCUCCAUCACCGAGCGUUGUUCUUCUUCAAUUUGGUCAAGGUCGCUCUGUCGCCAUCGUUUCAAGCGUUCUUCUUCAGCCGAACGUUCAUUCGUUCCAAACUUCUUCAGUCGAACAUGAAGGUCAAGCGUUGUUCUAUACGCCGUUCUCGACAUGCUUCUUGAGGUUUCGAUCUUUUCAAGCUUCUCUGCAUUUUUCAGCUUCGAUUGGUUCUUCUUCCAGUGUCUUUAUUUUGUUAAAGGCGAGUGGUGGAGAUUUAAUAGUUAGGUUAAAUCUUGUGUUUGCUGAGCUUCUCCCUAUUUUGGAACUGUUGAAGAUUUAAUAGUUAGGCUAAAUCUUGUGGUACGCCCCCUUUUUCUUCUUCCUUCAAUCGCUUUAAAUCAAAUCUAUCACUGCCUUCCUCCACUUUGCCUUCACAUACACCAUUGUUGACUCCCUCUUUAAGUAUGCUUCUUAAACUUUUUGGUUUCUUUUUAAUUUUAUAUAUCAUCUAUUAGCUUUAACCUUGAUUUUGAAUGUUUUUCGAGAAAUUCCAUUCUGUUUUGCUGUGAUGUUAUUAAAAAUGAACUGUAUCUGAAAAUCUUACUCAUCGCAUUCCAAUUGUGUAUUGUUUUCUUUCUUACUAUUUAACUUUAUUUUGCUUCUUACUAUUGUAAUUCUCUUUUAUUAUAUUGAACCUUGCUUUACCUUGAGAGGUUGAGCUUCGGGACAUAAGCCUCAAAAUUCUUUUAAAAGACCUAAAAUUUUCUUCUUUGUAAAUGGUACUUACGGUGUUCUGAAAUCUGCAGGUCUUUACUGGAUACCUGUUAGCUGAAUCUCUCAUUGGACCUGGAGGUUUAAGCUUUGUCAGUGAAAUGUGCAAGUUGAUGAAAGAACAAUUGUACAAAGCCCAAGAAUGUGAUGGCCAAGAAUUGUAUGAAACCCUAUUACCUUUUUAUAACUAAUGGAUAGUAUAGGUUGAUCAUCGUGUUGGAUUACAUGAUAUAUUAGUGACUAUCUUUUGUGAGAAUACUUAACCAUAGAAAUAGCAUCUUGUACAGGGCAUUAUAAAUCUUUUGAGUUGUAUUUUGCGCACGGCAAUAUGUAAGAAUCAUUUUUUGUUACUUGAUUUUUUAUGUAUGAGUCAUGAACCAUAGCAUUUGAAAUAUAUUUUCUUC